GCGCCCAUAGCUCAGCUGGAUAGAGCGCUCCCCUCCGGAGGGAGAGGUCGGGAGUUCGAAUCUUCUUGGGCGCACCA
Molecule: transfer RNA, 77 nt
Filed under: hydrothermal vent metagenome
Description: tRNA-Arg-CCG
Rfam family: tRNA
About the family: Transfer RNA (tRNA) molecules are approximately 80 nucleotides in length. Their secondary structure includes four short double-helical elements and three loops (D, anti-codon, and T loops).
Source: RNAcentral